ACCGAAAGUCCUUCUCCAUAGUUACCCCGAACUCCUCCCAUACUCGCUGCUUUGCCUCCAUCACGGCAGAGGCUGCUGCCCUUCGAGCCUGUCGGUACACUGCAACUGCCUCUGGAGUCCCACCGGAUAUCAUAACCCGGAAGGCCUCCUUCUUCAGUCGGACGGCUUCCCUGACCACCGGUGUCCACCACGGAGUUCGAGGGUUACCGCCCCUUGAUGCACCUAAGACCUUGAGGCCACAACUCACCGCCGCGGCUUCAGCAAUGGAGGUUUUGAACAUAGACCACUCUGGUUCAAUGUCCCCUACCUCCACAGGAAUGUGAGAGAAGCUCCGCCGGAGGUGUGAGUUGAAAAUCUUUUGGACCGGGGCCUCCUCCAGACGUUCCCAGUUCACCCUCACUACACGCUUGGGUUUACCGGGUCUGUCCCGAGUCUUCCUCCAUCCUCUGACCCAGCUCACAACCAGAUGGUGAUCAGUUGACAGCUCUGCCCCUCUCUUUACCCGAGUGUCCAGAACAUGCGGCCUCAGAUCAGACGAUACGAUUACAAAAUCGAUCAUUGAUCUUUGGCCUAGGGUGCUCUGGUACCACGUACACUUAUGAACAUCCUUAUGUUCGAACAUGGUGUUUGUUAUGGACAAUCCGUGACUAGCACAGAAGUCCAGUAACAAACACCCGCUCGGGUUCAGAUCAGGGAGGCCAUUCCUCCCAAUCACGCCUCUCCAGUUAUCUCCAUCGUCGCCCACGUGCGCAUUGAAGUCUCCCAGUAGGACUAUGGAGUCCCCUACAGGAGCCCCAUGCAGGACUCCAUUCAGGGUCUCCAAAAAGGCCGAAUACUCUGAGCUGCUGUUUGGUGCAUAUGCACAGACAACAGUCAGAGUUUUCCCCCCCACCACCCGAAGGCGUAGGGAGGCGACCCUUUUGUCCACUGGGGUAAACUCCAAUGUAGCAGCACUCAGCCGGGGACUUAUGAGUAUCCCCACACCCGCCUGGCGCCUCACACCAUGGGCCACUCCGGAGUAGAAUAGAAGCCGAGGCUGUGCGUAGAGGUAAGCCCCACCAGAUCCAACUGAUAACGCUCCACCUCCCGCACAAGCUCCGGCUCCUUCCCCCCCAGAGAGGUUACGUUCCACGUCCCCAGAGCCAGCAUCUGCUGCCCAGGUCUGUUCCGUCUAGACCCCCCACUGUCACUGCCACCCUUGUAGCAGCGCACCCGACCCCAUCGGUUUCCUCCACAGGUGGUGAGCCCAUGGGGAGUAGAGUGUUGGGCUGCCGCGUCACUCCUUCGGGCUGUGCCCGGCCGGGCUCCGCGGUAAACCCGGCCACCAGACGCUCGCUGUCGGGCAAAAUACAAAAUUUAUAUAUAUAUAUAUAUA
This is a long non-coding RNA of Gasterosteus aculeatus aculeatus (three-spined stickleback), 1375 nucleotides long. The record is from Ensembl. Lineage: Eukaryota; Metazoa; Chordata; Actinopteri; Perciformes; Gasterosteidae.